RNAcentral lists this ribosomal RNA (629 nucleotides) under uncultured bacterium. RNAcentral describes it as "bacterial SSU rRNA". It matches the Rfam family "Bacterial small subunit ribosomal RNA", at positions 100 to 726 of the family's 1533-position model. The record is from RNAcentral.
GAACGGGUGAGUAAUACAUCGGAACGUACCUUAUCGUGGGGGAUAACGCAGCGAAAGCUGUGCUAAUACCGCAUACGCCCUGAGUGGGAAAGCGGGGGAUCGAAAGACCUCGCGCGAUUAGAGCGGCCGAUGCCUGAUUAGCUUGUUGGUGGAGUAAAAGCCCACCAAGGCGACGAUCAGUAGCUGGUCUGAGAGGACGAUCAGCCACACUGGGACUGAGACACGGCCCAGACCCCUACGGGAGGCAGCAGUGGGGAAUUUUGGACAAUGGGGGAAACCCUGAUCCAGCAAUGCCGCGUGAGUGAAGAAGGCCUUCGAGUUGUAAAGCUCUUUUGUCAGGGAAGAAACACCGGCUCUAACACAGCCCGGGAAUGACGAUACCUGAAGAAUAAGCACCGGCUAACUACGUGCCAGCAGCCGCGGUAAUACGUAGGGUGCGAGCGUUAAUCGGAAUUACUGGGCGUAAAGCGUGCGCAGGCGGUUAUACAAGACAGGCGUGAAAUCCCCGGGCUUAACCUAGGAAUGGCGCCUGUGACUGUAUCGCUAGAGUGUGUCAGAGGGGGGUAGAAUUCCACGUGUAGCAGUGAAAUGCGUAGAUAUGUGGAGGAAUGCCAAUGGCGAAGGCAGCC